AUUGAACGCUGGCGGCAGGCCUAACACAUGCAAGUCGAACGGUAACAGGAAACAGCUUGCUGUUUCGCUGACGAGUGGCGGACGGGUGAGUAAUGUCUGGGAAACUGCCUGAUGGAGGGGGAUAACUACUGGAAACGGUAGCUAAUACCGCAUAACGUCGCAAGACCAAAGAGGGGGACCUUCGGGCCUCUUGCCAUCGGAUGUGCCCAGAUGGGAUUAGCUAGUAGGUGGGGUAACGGCUCACCUAGGCGACGAUCCCUAGCUGGUCUGAGAGGAUGACCAGCCACACUGGAACUGAGACACGGUCCAGACUCCUACGAGAGGCAGCAGUGGGGAAUAUUGCACAAUGGGCGCAAGCCUGAUGCAGCCAUGCCGCGUGUAUGAAGAAGGCCUUCGGGUUGUAAAGUACUUUCAGCGGGGAUGAAGGGAGUAAAGUUAAUACCUUUGCUCAUUGACGUUACCCGCAGAAGAAGCACCGGCUAACUCCGUG
This 490-nucleotide ribosomal RNA is filed under the name uncultured bacterium. RNAcentral describes it as "partial 16S ribosomal RNA". It matches the Rfam family "Bacterial small subunit ribosomal RNA", at positions 30 to 507 of the family's 1533-position model. The record is from RNAcentral.